AGAUUGAACGCUAGCGGGAUGCUUUACACAUGCAAGUCGAACGGCAGCGCGGACUUCGGUCUGGCGGCGAGUGGCGAACGGGUGAGUAAUAUAUCGGAACGUGCCCAGUAGCGGGGGAUAACUACGCGAAAGCGUGGCUAAUACCGCAUACGUCCUACGGGAGAAAGCAGGGGACCUUCGGGCCUUGCGCUAUCAGAUGAGCCUAGGUCGGAUUAGCUAGUUGGUGGGGUAAUGGCUCACCAAGGCGACGAUCCGUAACUGGUCUGAGAGGAUGAUCAGUCACACUGGAACUGAGACACGGUCCAGACUCCUACGGGAGCAGCAGUGGGGAAUAUUGGACAAUGGGGACGAAAGCCUAGAUUCAGCCGUGCCGCGUGUGUGAAGAAGGUCUUCGGAUUGUAAAGCACUUUAAGUGGAGGAAGGCAAGUUACCUAAUACGUAUCUUGUUUGACGUUACGACAGAAUAAGCAACGGCUAACUCUGUCGCCAGCCAGCCGACGGUAA
Molecule: ribosomal RNA, 504 nt
Filed under: uncultured soil bacterium
Lineage: Bacteria
Description: bacterial SSU rRNA
Rfam family: Bacterial small subunit ribosomal RNA
Source: RNAcentral